Molecule: long non-coding RNA, 185 nt
Organism: Xenia sp. Carnegie-2017
Lineage: Eukaryota; Metazoa; Cnidaria; Anthozoa; Malacalcyonacea; Xeniidae
Exons: 3
Source: RefSeq, a predicted model, not a curated record
AACUUUGCUCAGGUUGUCCCUGAUGGAAUGUUGGUGUUUUUUCCAUCCUAUACCUCGCUUGAGGUCGCUGUUCAAAACUGGAAGACCAAAAAUAUUUGGCCGAGACUUGAGCAACGUAAACCUAUAUUCAUCGAACCUCGAAGGAAUGUUGAGUUUGCGGAGACUAUGGAUGGCUUUUAUGAAAA